Molecule: ribosomal RNA, 468 nt
Filed under: uncultured bacterium
Lineage: Bacteria
Description: partial 16S ribosomal RNA
Rfam family: Bacterial small subunit ribosomal RNA
Source: RNAcentral
GACGAACGCUGGCGGCGUGCUUAACACAUGCAAGUCGAACGGAAAGGCCCUGCUAUUGUGGGGUGAUCGAGUGGCGAUCGCGUGAGUAACACGAGAGUAACCUGACCUUGAUUUUGGGAUAACUUCAGGAAACUGGGGCUAAUAUCGGAUAGGAGAUCCUCUUGCAUGGUGGGGGGUGGAACGUCUCGGCGGUUGCGGAUGGACUAGCGGCUUAUCAGCUAGUUGGUGGGGUAGUGGUUUACCCAGGAUUUGGAGGGUAGCCGGCCUGUGAGGGUGACCGGGCACAUUGGGACUGAGGUACGGCGCAGUGGCGUACGUGAGGCAGCAGGGGGGAAUAUUGCACAGUGGGCGGAAGCCUGAUGAGGCGGCGCUGCGUGCGGGAUGACGGCCUGCUGGUUGUAAACCGCUUUCGCCUGUGACGAAGCGUGAGUGACGGUAAUGAGUAAAGAAGCACCGGCUAACUACGUG